GUAGGUGGCAAGCGUUGUCCGGAUUUAUUGGGCGUAAAGAGCGCGCAGGCGGUUCGUUAAGUCCGAGGUGAAAUCUCCCGGCUCAACUGGGAGGGGUCUUCGGAUACUGGCGGACUUGAGGAGUGCAGAGGUGAGUGGAAUUCUCGGUGUAGUGGUGAAAUGCGUAGAUAUCGAGAGGAACACCAGCGGCGAAGGCGGCUCACUGGGCACCACCUGACGCUGAGGCGCGAAAGCGUGGGGAGCGAACCGGAUUAGAUACCCGGGUAGUCCACGCCGUAAACGAUGGGCACUAGGUGUGAGGGGUAUUGACCCCCUUCGUGCCGAAGCUAACGCAAUAAGUGCCCCGCCUGGGGAGUACGGCCGCAAGGCUA
RNAcentral lists this ribosomal RNA (371 nucleotides) under uncultured bacterium. Its description in RNAcentral is "bacterial SSU rRNA". It matches the Rfam family "Bacterial small subunit ribosomal RNA", at positions 527 to 896 of the family's 1533-position model. The record is from RNAcentral.